Molecule: ribosomal RNA, 448 nt
Filed under: uncultured bacterium
Lineage: Bacteria
Description: bacterial SSU rRNA
Rfam family: Bacterial small subunit ribosomal RNA
Source: RNAcentral
UACCAGACUCCUACGGGAGGCAGCAGUGGGGAAUAUUGCACAAUGGGGGAAACCCUGAUGCAGCGACGCCGCGUGAGUGAAGAAGUAUUUCGGUAUGUAAAGCUCUAUCAGCAGGGAAGAAAAUGACGGUACCUGACUAAGAAGCCCCGGCUAACUACGUGCCAGCAGCCGCGGUAAUACGUAGGGGGCAAGCGUUAUCCGGAUUUACUGGGUGUAAAGGGAGCGUAGGCGGGAAGCCAAGUCAGCUGUGAAAACUACGGGCUUAACCUGUAGACUGCAGUUGAAACUGGCUUUCUUGAGUGAAGUAGAGGUUGGCGGAAUUCCGAGUGUAGCGGUGAAAUGCGUAGAUAUUCGGAGGAACACCGGUGGCGAAGGCGGCCAACUGGGCUUUAACUGACGCUGAGGCUCGAAAGUGUGGGGAGCAAACAGGAUUAGAUACCCCAGUAAA